UGGGGAAUUUUGGACAAUGGGGGAAACCCUGAUCCAGCCAUCCCGCGUGUGCGCUGAAGGCCUUCGGGUUGUAAAGCACUUUUGGCAGGAAAGAAACGUCAUGGGUUAAUACCCCGUGAAACUGACGGUACCUGCAGAAUAAGCACCGGCUAACUACGUGCCAGCAGCCGCGGUAAUACGUAGGGUGCAAGCGUUAAUCGGAAUUACUGGGCGUAAAGCGUGCGCAGGCGGUUCGGAAAGAAAGAUGUGAAAUCCCAGAGCUCAACUUUGGAACUGCAUUUUUAACUACCGGGCUAGAGUGUGUCAGAGGGAGGUGGAAUUCCGCGUGUAGCAGUGAGAUGCGUAGAUAUGCGGAGGAACACCGAUGGCGAAGGCAGCCUCCUGGGAUAACACUGACGCUCAUGCACGAAAGCGUGGGGAGCAAACAGG
Molecule: ribosomal RNA, 429 nt
Filed under: Acidobacteriota bacterium
Lineage: Bacteria; Pseudomonadati; Acidobacteriota
Description: Acidobacteria bacterium partial 16S ribosomal RNA
Rfam family: Bacterial small subunit ribosomal RNA
Source: RNAcentral